UUGACCUCAAAUCAGGUAGGACUACCCGCUGAAUUAA
RNAcentral lists this ribosomal RNA (37 nucleotides) under Henningsomyces candidus. RNAcentral describes it as "partial 25S ribosomal RNA". Lineage: Eukaryota; Fungi; Basidiomycota; Agaricomycetes; Agaricales; Schizophyllaceae. The record is from RNAcentral.